UGUUUUCUUUUCUUUUUGUGGUUGGUGAUGGGAUGUGGGAACAG
Molecule: small RNA, 44 nt
Filed under: Arabidopsis thaliana (thale cress)
Lineage: Eukaryota; Viridiplantae; Streptophyta; Magnoliopsida; Brassicales; Brassicaceae
Description: ATSL300910
Source: RNAcentral